This is a non-coding RNA of Paramuricea clavata, 404 nucleotides long. Lineage: Eukaryota; Metazoa; Cnidaria; Anthozoa; Malacalcyonacea; Plexauridae. The record is from the annotation of a GenBank genome assembly.
UCAUUUCAAUCACUCGAACGUCAAAAUGAUAAAUAAUCAUUUUCAAUCUAUUAUAGUAAUUCACCGUUUCCACGGGUUUUUUAUACCUUUAAAAAGCUACAAUAAAGCUAAAUCUAAAGGAAAUAACGUCAUUUAGUUACACAUUUGUGAAGGAAAUCUAACAGUCAAUUGCUUUCCAUAAAACCUUGACCCACCUGACUUUGUUAAUGUUAUUAUUACCGUCGCUUGCAACUAACUAUUAACGGUCGCUUAUAAAAACAUUGCCUAUUCGUGUGUUUCUGCUGGGGUCUACACCGUAGGCUAAUUCGCGUGCGAAUCUUAAGUUUUCUUAUUUUGACAUAAGGGACCGGUCAUUAAGUAUUUACUAGGGGGUGUGGAGGAUAUUUUUGGAGGGUACGAAAAAA